CUACUGCGUAAACCAGGGACUCCCUUCAACUACAAAGGGGGCUUUCUAACGUAAUCAUUUUUAAAGUUAUCUGGAUAUGUGAUAUUCUAUUAGACAAAAGACACAUGGAAAUAUAUAUUCUUGGGAAUUCUAGAUGCUGUGUAAUUCAAGUCUUUGUGGAGAGAAGGUAGCCAUCACAAAGUACAGUAUACUGUAGCAGUACUCAGCAAGCGAUAGGCCACAGCACUGUGCUAGGUAUGCCACCAACAGGAAUGUAUUAUUAUUGCCAUUUAUAUAGCGCCAACAGAUUCCGUAGCGCUUUACAAUAUUAUGAGAUGGGGGAUUUAAC
Non-coding RNA from Pelobates cultripes (western spadefoot toad), 328 nucleotides. The record is from the annotation of a GenBank genome assembly. NCBI's taxonomy places the organism in Eukaryota, Metazoa, Chordata, Amphibia, Anura, Pelobatidae.